This 602-nucleotide ribosomal RNA is filed under the name fungal endophyte. RNAcentral describes it as "eukaryotic LSU rRNA". The stretch from base 178 to 331 matches the Rfam family "5.8S ribosomal RNA". Lineage: Eukaryota; Fungi. The record is from RNAcentral.
AAAGAGUUCUAUAACUCCCAAACCCAUGUGAACAUACCUAACGUUGCCUCGGCAGGUCGCACCUACCUUGUAGCACCCUACCCUGUAGGGCCUACCCGGGAGGUGCGGGUAAGCCUGCCGGCGGCCCACCAAACUCUGUUUGAUAUUGAAUUCUGAACCUAUAACUAAAUAAGUUAAAACUUUCAACAACGGAUCUCUUGGUUCUGGCAUCGAUGAAGAACGCAGCGAAAUGCGAUAAGUAAUGUGAAUUGCAGAAUUCAGUGAAUCAUCGAAUCUUUGAACGCAUAUUGCGCCCAUUAGUAUUCUAGUGGGCAGGACCGUUCGAGCGUCAUUUCAACCCUUAAGCCUUCGUUGCUUAGUGUUGGGAGCCUACGGCAACGUAGCUCCUCAAAGUUAGUGGCGGAGUUGGUUCACACUCUAGACGUAGUAAUUUUUUAUCUCGCCUAUUAGUUGGACUAAUCCCCUGCCGUAAAACUCCCAAUUUAUCAAGGUUGACCUCGAAUCGGUUCAGACAAACUCGCUAAAUUGAAGCAUCUUAGUCAGCGAAGGAAAAGAAACCAACAGGGAUUGCCCUAGUAACGGCGAGUGAAGCGGCAACAGCU